GACGAACGCUGGCGGCGUGCUUAACACAUGCAAGUCGAACGGAAAGGCCCUGCUUUUGUGGGGUGCUCGAGUGGCGAACGGGUGAGUAACACGUGAGUAACCUGCCCUUGACUUUGGGAUAACUUCAGGAAACUGGGGCUAAUACCGGAGAGGAGCUCCUGCUGCAGGGGGGGGGUUGGAAAGUUUCGGCGGUUGGGGAUGGACUCGCGGCUUAUUAGCUUGUUGGGGGGGUAGUGGCUUACCAAGGGUUUGACGGGUAGCCGGCGUGGGAGGGGGGACGGCGACAUUGGGACUGAGGUACGGACCAGACUCGUACGGGAGGCAGCAGGGGGGAAUAUUGCACAAUGGGCGGAAGCCUGAUGCAGCAACGCCGCGUGCGGGAUGACGGCCUUCGGGUUGUAAACCGCUGUCGCCUGUGACGAAGCGUGAGUGACGGUAAUGGGUAAAGAAGCACCGGCUAACUACGUG
RNAcentral lists this ribosomal RNA (468 nucleotides) under uncultured bacterium. RNAcentral's name for it is "partial 16S ribosomal RNA". It matches the Rfam family "Bacterial small subunit ribosomal RNA", at positions 28 to 507 of the family's 1533-position model. The record is from RNAcentral.